This 237-nucleotide ribosomal RNA is filed under the name uncultured Lactobacillus sp. RNAcentral's name for it is "partial 16S ribosomal RNA". It matches the Rfam family "Bacterial small subunit ribosomal RNA", at positions 125 to 356 of the family's 1533-position model. The record is from RNAcentral. Lineage: Bacteria; Bacillati; Bacillota; Bacilli; Lactobacillales; Lactobacillaceae.
CCUGCCCAAGAGAUCGGGAUAACACCUGGAAACAGAUGCUAAUACCGUAUAACAAUAGAUGAUGCCUAUCAACUGUUUAAAAGAUGGUUCUGCUAUCACUCUUGGAUGGACCUGCGGUGCAUUAGCUAGUUGGUAGGGUAACGGCCUACCAAGGCGAUGAUGCAUAGCCGAGUUGAGAGACUGAUCGGCCACAUUGGGACUGAGACACGGCCCAAACUCCUACGGGAGGCAGCAGCG